ACAAUGAAGAGUUUGAUCCUGGCUCAGGAUGAACGCUAGCGGCAGGCUUAACACAUGCAAGUCGAGGGGUAACAGGUUAGUAGCAAUACUGAUGCUGACGACCGGCGCACGGGUGCGUAACGCGUAUGCAACCUACCUUAUACAGGGGGAUAACCUUUCGAAAGGGAGACUAACACCGCAUAACAUUAUUUUCAGGCAUCUGGGGAUAAUUAAAUGAGCGAUCAGGUAUAAGAUGGGCAUGCGUAGCAUUAGUUAGAUGGCGAGGUAACGGCUCACCAUGGCGAUGAUGCUUAGGGGUUCUGAGAGGAAGGUCCCCCACACCGGUACUGAGAUACGGACCGGACUCCUACGGGAGGCAGCAGUGAGGAAUAUUGGUCAAUGGUCGGAAGACUGAACCAGCCAUGCCGCGUGCAGGAAGGAGGUCCUAUGGAUUGUAAACUGCUUUUUUCGGGGAAUAAUAAGACUUUUGCGAAGGUUGAUGCAGGUACCCGAAGAAUAAGGAUCGGCUAACUCCGUGCCAGCAGCCGCGGUAAUACGGAGGAUUCGAGCGUUAUCCGGAUUUAUUGGGUUUAAAGGGUGCGUAGGCGGUUAGAUAAGUUUGAGGUUAAAUGCUUCUGCUCAACAGGAGUUUGCCUUGAAAACUGUCUGACUAGGAUGUAAACGGCGCAGGCGGAAUGAAUCAUGUAGCGGUGACAUGCAUAGAUAUGAUUCAGAACACCGAUCGCGAAGGCAGCUUGCGAGGAUACGAUUGACGCUGAAGCACGAAAGCGUGGGUAUCGAACAGGAUUAGAUACCCUGGUAGUCCACGCUGUAAACGAUGAUAACCAGAUGUUGGCGAUAGAAUGUCAGUGUCGGAACGAAAGAGCUAAGUUAUCCACCUGGGGAGUACGAUCGCAAGGUUGAAACUCAAAGGAAUUGACGGGGGCCCGCACAAGCGGAGGAGCAUGUGGUUUAAUUCGAUGAUACGCGAGGAACCUUACCCGAACUUGAACGUAACCUGAAUACUAUAAGAGAUUAGAGUAGUUAGCAAUAACGGGUUACGAGGUGCUGCAUGGUUGUCGUCAGCUCGUGCCGUGAGGUGUCAGGUUAAGUCCUAUAACGAGCGCAACCCCUGCACAUAGUUACCAGCACGUUGAGGUGGGGACUCUAUGUGGACUGCCGGCGCAAGCUGAGAGGAAGGUGGGGAUGACGUCAAAUCAGCACGGCCCUUACGUUCGGGGCGACACACGUGCUACAAUGGCAGAUACAGAGGGCAGCUAUGCAGAGAUGCAAUGCGAAUCUCGAAAGUCUGUCUCAGUUCGGAUCGGAGUCUGCAACCCGACUUCGUGAAGAUGGAUUCGCUAGUAAUCGCAGAUCAGCCAUGCUGCGGUGAAUACGUUCCCGGGCCUUGUACACACCGCCCGUCAAGCCAUGGGAGUCAGCGGUGCUUGAAGACCAUAACCGGAAGGAGUGGUUAAGGGCAAAGCUGGUGACUGGGGCUAAGUCGUAACAAGGUAGCCGUACCGGAAGGUGUGGCUGGAAUACCUCCUUU
RNAcentral lists this ribosomal RNA (1531 nucleotides) under Bacteroidales bacterium. Its description in RNAcentral is "bacterial SSU rRNA". It matches the Rfam family "Bacterial small subunit ribosomal RNA". The record is from RNAcentral. Lineage: Bacteria; Pseudomonadati; Bacteroidota; Bacteroidia; Bacteroidales.